AUGGAAGUGGCCUUAGCUAGCGCUGCCUUAAGCGUUAGCUUAAAAUCGGCUGCAUCGCCAGUCUUGCAGAAGCUCCUUGCUAAUGCUUCAACAUACCUUGGAGUGGACAUGGCGCGCGAGCUCCAUGAACUGGAGACCACAAUCUUGCCGCAGUUUGAGUUGUUGAUCGAAGCAGCAGACAAGGGAAAACACAGGCCCACGUUGGACAAAUGGCUUCAUGAACUCAAAGAAGCAUUCUGCAUGGCGGAAGACUUGCUGCAUGAGCAUGAGUAUGGCCUCCUUGAGCGCCAAGCAAAGGGGAAGGAUUCCUUGCCUGCAAAUGCCUCCUCCCUCAGCAGCUCUUUUAUGAAGCCUCUGCGUGCUGCAUCAAGCACGCUGUCCAAUCUGAGCUCUCGGAACAGAAAGCUAAUUCGCCAUCUAAAUAAACUGAAGGCUCUCCUGGCGAAAGCCAAGGACCUCCGUCAACUGCUCUGCUUAUAA
RNAcentral lists this ribosomal RNA (480 nucleotides) under Triticum aestivum (bread wheat). RNAcentral's name for it is "partial small subunit ribosomal RNA". The record is from RNAcentral. Lineage: Eukaryota; Viridiplantae; Streptophyta; Magnoliopsida; Poales; Poaceae.